AAAAAAGCCCUACGCUAUUCCAUUGCGGUUUCUUCGAGCUUCUUCACUUGCGAAGUCCUCUGUUCAACUUCAUCCGAAUUCCUCCAAUUGGUGAAUCGUUUGUUCAGAUUAUCUGAGUGAGCGUUUCUUGGACUGGAUUUAGGGCAUCAGAUUCAGGGGAAUUAGGUGUUAUUCUUCGAGUUUCAAGGCAUAAUUUUGAUUUAAUAUUUUCAUAAUCUUGGCUGGUAUUAUGUUCGUUUAAGAUUUUAUUAGAAUUUGGCUGGUAUUAUGUUCGUUUGGUUUUAUUAGAAUUUCAUUAAACGAACAUAAAAACUGGAAGAACAAUUGUCGAAUUUGGCUGGUAUUAUGUUCAUUUGGUUUGAUUUUAUUAUAAUUUGAUGUAAAUUUCCUCGCCUUGCUUUUGAAGAUUCUCCUUGUUACAAAUCGUAGUACACUAGUACAUGAGGGUGGAAGGGACGAAUAGCACCAAAAAUUCUUCCCACCCCUUUGCCAAAUGCUGGACUACGUUGUCUGUCUACUGCAGUGUUAAAGAUGUUCUUUUUUUUUUGUUUUUCACAUUCUUUUGUGCAUUUUUGGUACCAUGCCUAUUGUUACUUUGAAAGAGCUAACGAUUUUGGGGGGAGACGAGACUUAAAUCAUAUACUCUUCUUCUGUUACUGAUUUUGAUGAAUAUGGAUUUUAGUUCUGUAUUUGGGAUUAUGAAUAGAAAGCAUAACAUGGAUUUUAGUUCUGUAUUUUAGUUCUGUAUUUGGGAUUAUGAAUACAGUGAUUUUAGUUCUGCUUUCUAUUCAUAUUCAGUAAUCUAUUCUGUAUUUGGCUGAAUAUGGAUUUCUAUUCAGUGAUAUUAAUAAUAACAUAUAUGUUGAUUUCUAUUCAGUGAAUAUAUCCCAACAUAUCCAUAUAAUACAUAUCCAUGUCAUCAUGUUGGGAUGUAUUCAGAACUAGAAUGACAGGCUUUGGCAUUUGUAUUAUAUCCAUGGCAUUGUAUUAUAAAUUCAGAACUAGAAUAAUAUUCAUGGUGAAGAAUUGAUGUCAGCGGAGGUUGGGACAAAUGGUGGUGGUGGGGAAACAUUAUGAAUUUAUGACGGAUUAUAGGGCAAGAUAGCACGACUUGCACCUCCUCCGGUUCUUCAAACCAUUAGUAGGAUUACUUUCCUCAUCUCUGUUACAUUUCUCAACUGUUAAUGUGGAGCAUUUACAAAAACCUCAUGCAGUCGUGCUGCUUGCAACUAUAUAUUAUGAAAUAACUUUAUAGGCUUUCAACUGUAUAGGGAUAAUGCCAUAGAUCCUUCUAAGUCAAUGAAGAAACAUGUAGGUUUUAAUUGUUUGUUAAGUGAACAGGACUUCCUUGCUAUUACGUAAAUGCAAGCUACUGCACAGUAAAGGGCAUUACAGAAUGAGAUAGAAUAUUUGGUGAAAUAUGAAAGAUACCUGUCAUAUGAGAAAAUCAAGGGUAGUUCAAAUUUUCAUUUUGCCUAAAUGUAUAGCUGAAUGUUCUUUUGCAUAACAAAUUCCUCCACUAACCAGUUUUAUUUUCCAAGAACUUGCCCGUCAUGCUUAUGUUGUUAGAUGUUUGUUAGCAGUAAUGGUCUCUUACCUAGGUAGCUAGGUUUUGUGUCACAGAAUUAUCUAUUGUUGUUAGAUGUUUGUUAGCGGAUCUUAUAAGCGUAUUGGGUCUUUUUAUUAUAUAUUUCUGCAAAUUGUAAAUAGAAUUAUACCUUUGUUUUGUUGUUUGGACUAUGGUAUUAAAUCUUGGAUCCGGUUGUGAUCCCGAACUUUAUCUCUUGACAUGCCACUAACCAAAAGUAAUACAUGGACAGGUUAAGUUUUCGUGUAUGUCAUAAUGACACUAGGUGGGAAAAAGAACAUGUUUCUGGCACCUGGAAUACUUGGUAAAAAUUGUGGCAAAGGACUAAAAGCUACAUUAUUUUCGAGAUCGCUUAAUGCAAAACCCCCUUCUUCUUAUAGCAAUAUUAGGCUGGUUACAACAUGUUAGAAAAAAUUACAACUUAAUUAGGAAUAGUUCCAUCUAGUGCUACAGUUUGUUCCUUUUCUUGCUUGGUUUAAAAUUUCAUAAGUGGCCACUAAUAAUGUUUCAAGUAGGAGAGGGGUGAUAAUUAUGGAAGCUGCUACAUAAUGUUCUUCUAUAGUCCUAUCUGAUGGGUGAUAAUUAUUUUGGAAGGAGAGGGUUUGAUUUAGUUUAGCAAUCUGGGCUAACAUACUGAUCUUAAGGCAGAUAAUAGUAGAUGUUGUAACAUGAGGUAGAUGUAAUUGCAUUCCUUUACAAGUAUGGAUGAGCUAUCAUCUUUUGCUGUGUUGUUAGAAACUAGACGAACUUGCGAUCAGGGCUUUUCACAUAUCAUGUUGGCAAAAUAUUCAAAUUGUCUUUGUUCUUGCUGUACACUACUGCAAGUAAGCACUACUGCAAGUAAGCACUGGCUUCGUCUUUAGUGGUCUAUAGCUCUGUUCCUUUCUGUUGUAUACUUCCUCCAUUUUUUUUAACUUGCAACAUUUCAUAUUUUAGGAAGUUGAAUAUUACUUGUAACAUUGACAUUUUUGGCAAUUUUCAUUUAGGCUUAUGGAGUAAUCACUUGUUGGAUAAAAGGUAGAGAUGGAUAACCCACAACUUGUUGCAUGGUCUGAAUCAUUUGAAUUUUCAUAGUUUACACUAAUUUUUUUUGCUCAUUGUUAUUUAUACUUCUACUUGUCUGUUAUGUGUUAAAAAUUUAUACAUUGUAAUUUAUAAUUUGUUACCUUUUGUUUAGCUUAGGUUAGUAGCGAGGCGACUCAUGAUUGGGUAAAACUAAUAGUAACAAUGACAUGUGGAGGAGAUCCUUGAAGCUUGAGUUGGAAUGAUAUGGACUAACAUUGUGGGUUAUACAUUUUCUACAAUGUGGAAGAACUACAAUAGUUAUGGUUUUUUAGCUUGUGAAACUUUUGACAGAUUCUCUAACUUUUUUUAUCGUAUUGAACCGUUAGCUAAGAUUGUAGAUACUUUUAUUAUUGGUACUUUUGGACAUCUAUGUACUUAUGAAUUAUGUUUUAUCA
Long non-coding RNA from Beta vulgaris subsp. vulgaris (sugar beet), 3048 nucleotides. RefSeq lists it as uncharacterized. The transcript has 2 exons. The record is from RefSeq and is a predicted model, not a curated record. NCBI's taxonomy places the organism in Eukaryota, Viridiplantae, Streptophyta, Magnoliopsida, Caryophyllales, Amaranthaceae.